UCUCGGCUCUCGCAUCGAUGAAGAACGUAGCGAAAUGCGAUACUUGGUGUGAAUUGCAGAAUCCCGUGAACCAUCGAGUCUUUGAACGCAAGUUGCGCCCGAAACCACUCGGUUGAGGGCACGUCUGCCUGGGCGUCACGCAU
Molecule: ribosomal RNA, 143 nt
Filed under: Euphrasia pectinata
Lineage: Eukaryota; Viridiplantae; Streptophyta; Magnoliopsida; Lamiales; Orobanchaceae
Also listed under: 1 other name
Description: 5.8S ribosomal RNA
Rfam family: 5.8S ribosomal RNA
About the family: 5.8S ribosomal RNA (5.8S rRNA) is a component of the large subunit of the eukaryotic ribosome.
Source: RNAcentral